RNAcentral lists this ribosomal RNA (457 nucleotides) under uncultured bacterium. RNAcentral describes it as "partial 16S ribosomal RNA". It matches the Rfam family "Bacterial small subunit ribosomal RNA", at positions 338 to 795 of the family's 1533-position model. The record is from RNAcentral.
CCUACGGGCGGCAGCAGUGGGGGAUAUUGCACAAUGGGGGAAACCCUGAUGCAGCGACGCCGCGUGAGUGAAGAAGUAUUUCGGUAUGUAAAGCUCUAUCAGCAGGGAAGAAAUAAAGUCCUUCGGACUUUGGACGGUACCUGACUAAGAAGCCCCGGUUAACUACCUGCCAGCAGCCGCGGGAAUACGUAGGGGGCAAGCGUUAUUCGGAUUUACUGGGUGGAAAGGGAGCGUAGACGGCAGCGCAAGUAUGGAGGGAAAUCCCAUGGCUUAACCAUGGAACUGCUUUGGAAACUGUGCAGCUUGAGUGCAGGAGAGGUAAGCGGAAUUCCUAGUGUAGCGGUGAAAUGCGUAGAUAUUAGGAGGAACACCAGUGGCGAAGGCGGCUUACUGGACUGUAACUGACGUUGAGGCUCGAAAGCGUGGGGAGCAAACAGGAUUAGAUACCCGAGUAGUC